UACGUAGGCAGCGAGCGUUGUUCGGAGUUACUGGGCGUAAAGCGUGCGUAGGCGGUGGUCCAAGUCUGGUGUGAAAUCUCCCGGCUUAACUGGGAGGGUGCGCCGGAAACUGGGCUGCUGGAGUGCGGGAGAGGUAAGCGGAAUUCCCGGUGUAGCGGUGAAAUGCGUAGAUAUCGGGAGGAACCCCUGUGGUGUAGACGGCUUACUGGACCGCCACUGACGCUGAGGCACGAAAGCGUGGGGAGCAAACAGG
RNAcentral lists this ribosomal RNA (253 nucleotides) under uncultured bacterium. RNAcentral describes it as "partial 16S ribosomal RNA". It matches the Rfam family "Bacterial small subunit ribosomal RNA", at positions 524 to 776 of the family's 1533-position model. The record is from RNAcentral.